CCCUGCUCCCUGGGGCCUGCGAGGCUGGUGGAAGUGUCUGCCUCUUGGCCCGUGGCGCCCAGCCCCGGGGUCUCUGGACUGCCACGUCCAGGGUACUUCAGGUGGUGCCCAACUCAAGGCCCUCCGUUCCAGGAGAGGUGCCUCCUCUGGUCACGUCUCAUGCCGUGUCCCCUGCCUGCCUCUGGGACACGUCAGAGGAGAGAGCCUCACCCUCUGUUUAUUGGAGUGCAGCCUCGAGAGUCACGGGGCAGUGUGACCAGGGUGACUGGCUAGGCCCUGUUUCUGGGAAAACUUUUUCUUCCCAAGGCCAGUUGCCAAUGUCAUGGGGCUUUGCAAGGACCCCCAGAACCUGCACUGGGGGACUCACUGGGCAGACAUAGCAGCCUGGGCAGGGGUCUGUGAGGAGGGAAGCCAGGAUGUGCCUGCCCCAGGCCGGAGGCCUCCAGUUUCUCAAGUCAACCAAAUUUGCGGAGGAGACAAGAUAGGCCGGAAGGAGCCAUACUACAUCACACAGUUGUUCCAGGCGGCAGACAAGAACCAGGACAACCAGAUCUGCUUUGAGGAGUUCCUCUACAUCUUGGGCAAACUGGUGAAGGACUACCACCUGCAGUACCACCGGCAGCUGUGUGCCCACUACUGCACCCAGCACAGCCUCUAUUAGAGGGAGUGCAGGGGCCUGCCUAGGGAGCAGGUGUGACCUAGCUGUGGCAGCUGAAGACAUAGCCAUGUGUGUGUGUGUGUGUGUGUGUGUGUGUGUGUGUGUGUGUGGAGUGGAUGCUGUGAAGGAAGAGAAUAAAGCAACUUUGUAAAGACU
This 814-nucleotide long non-coding RNA is filed under the name Cervus hanglu yarkandensis (Yarkand deer). RNAcentral's name for it is "lncRNA (ENSCHYG00000018509.1)". Lineage: Eukaryota; Metazoa; Chordata; Mammalia; Artiodactyla; Cervidae. The record is from RNAcentral.